UCCUACGGGAGGCAGCAGUGAGGAAUAUUGGUCAAUGGUCGGGAGACUGAACCAGCCAAGCCGCGUGAGGGAGGAAGGUACAGAGUAUCGUAAACCUCUUUUGUCAGGGAACAAAGGCGGGGACGUGUCCCCGGAUGAGUGUACCUGAAGAAAAAGCAUCGGCUAACUCCGUGCCAGCAGCCGCGGUAAUACGGAGGAUGCGAGCGUUAUCCGGGUUUAUUGGGUUUAAAGGGUGCGCAGGCGGUCUGUUAAGUCAGCGGUCAAAGCCCGGGGCUCAACCCCGGCCCGCCGUUGAAACUUGCAGU
This 305-nucleotide ribosomal RNA is filed under the name uncultured bacterium. RNAcentral's name for it is "bacterial SSU rRNA". It matches the Rfam family "Bacterial small subunit ribosomal RNA", at positions 337 to 640 of the family's 1533-position model. The record is from RNAcentral.